CAGUCGCCGCGGGAAUACAGAGGGUGCGAGCGUUAAUCGGAUUUACUGGGCGUAAAGCGUGCGUAGGCGGCUUCUUAAGUCGGAUGUGAAAUCCCUGAGCUUAACUUAGGAAUUGCAUUCGAUACUGGGAAGCUAGAGUAUGGGAGAGGAUGGUAGAAUUCCAGGUGUAGCGGUGAAAUGCGUAGAGAUCUGGAGGAAUACCGAUGGCGAAGGCAGCCAUCUGGCCUAAUACUGACGCUGAGGUACGAAAUCAUGGGGAGCAAACAGGAUUAGAUACCCCGGUAGUCCCUGUCUCUUAUAC
This 301-nucleotide ribosomal RNA is filed under the name uncultured bacterium. RNAcentral describes it as "partial 16S ribosomal RNA". It matches the Rfam family "Bacterial small subunit ribosomal RNA", at positions 509 to 807 of the family's 1533-position model. The record is from RNAcentral.